CAUGCUCAUAUAUUGGAAGUCAGAUCAGUUUGAGAUCAUUUGGUAUAUUGACUCCGAUUAUAUUAGAUGCAAAGAUAACAUAUCAUGACGCAUCUGAUUAUAGAACUUUGUCACGGGGCUGCACAUAGUGGAUAAGGAGUUAAAGACCACUAAAGUUAUUUGUGACAAUAAAUCAGUAGUUUUAUUUUCAAUAACAACAGGAACUCGACGAAGUCUUGUUUUUAAAGAUUAAGUUCAGAGUGAACAGUUGUCUAUAGAGCAUAUCAGUACAAACUCCAUGUUG
This 283-nucleotide long non-coding RNA is filed under the name Trifolium pratense (red clover). RNAcentral's name for it is "long non-coding RNA (TPRA_LNC009746)". The record is from RNAcentral. Lineage: Eukaryota; Viridiplantae; Streptophyta; Magnoliopsida; Fabales; Fabaceae.